This 480-nucleotide ribosomal RNA is filed under the name uncultured bacterium. Its description in RNAcentral is "partial 16S ribosomal RNA". It matches the Rfam family "Bacterial small subunit ribosomal RNA", at positions 28 to 507 of the family's 1533-position model. The record is from RNAcentral.
GACGAACGCUGGCGGCGUGCUUAACACAUGCAAGUCGAACGAUGAAGAAAAGAAUUGAAGCUUCGGCAGAAAUUCAUUUCGGAUUAGUGGCAGACGGGUGAGUAACGCGUGAGCAACCUACCUCUUACAAAGGGAUAGCCUCGGGAAACCGGGAUUAAUACCAUAUAACAUUGCGACGAAGCAUUUCGAUGCAAUCAAAGCUACGGCGGUAAGAGAUGGGCUCGCGUCCCAUUAACCAGAUGGUGAGGUAACGGCUCACCAGAGUCACGAUGGGUAACCGGCCUGAGAGGGUGAACGGUCACACUGGAACUGAGACACGGUCCAGACUCCUACGGGAGGCAGCAGUGGGGAAUAUUGCACAAUGGAGGGAACUCUGAUGCAGCGACGCCGCGUGAGUGAUGAAGGAAUUCGUUUCGUAAAACUCUGUUCUAUGUGAAGAAAAGGACUGUACCAUAGGAGAAAGCUCCGGCUAAAUACGUG